This 3176-nucleotide long non-coding RNA is filed under the name Nicotiana tabacum (common tobacco). RNAcentral's name for it is "long non-coding RNA (NTAB_LNC001674)". Lineage: Eukaryota; Viridiplantae; Streptophyta; Magnoliopsida; Solanales; Solanaceae. The record is from RNAcentral.
CCUCCGAACGACUUGAAUCUAGUCACAAACAACUUAAUACAAUUAGUACAAUCUAUAUGAAUCGAUUCCAUAUGAUAAAGCUAAAUUCUUUAACCAAAGUAAAAAAGUCAACCCAAAAAGUCAUCCUUGAGCCCACGUUUCAGAAUCAGACAAAAUUUACAAAAUCCGAAUGCACAUUCAAUAACGAGUCCAACCAUACUAAAAUUACUAAAUUACGAUCUCAACUCGACCUUCAAAUCCUCAAAUUAUAGUCUAUGAAGUUUCACAAUUUUUUCCUCAAUUUCUCCAACCCAAAACACUAAUUAAAUGAUAAAAAUAAUGAUAGAUUCAUGUACAACAACCAAAACCGAGUUAGAAUCACUUAUUCUAAUCAACUCCUUAAAAAUUCCAUCAAGAAUCGCCCAAAUCCGAGGUCUCUAGCUCAAAAUAUGAAAAAUAGGUUCAAACCUCGAUUUUGAAAUUUAAUAAUUGCUGCCCAAAGGUCUUUCUUCGCAAACGCGGAAAGUGCCUCGCAUUCGUGAAACACAAAAUUCAACUGCCCAAAAAAUCCUCUUACGCGAACGCGAAGGACCCAUUGCAAACGCGAUGCUUCACAGUGCUUUGCCUACGCGAACGCGUUCCCUUGACUGCGAACGUGAAGGCUUAAGGCCUGGUGCCCAAGCUUGCCUCAUCCUUCUACGCGAACGUGAGCACCUCCUCGCGAUCGCGAUGCUCAAACUCCCUUCACCUUCGUUAACACGGAGAGCAAACUUCUCUUGCCUCCCAGAUACCCUUCGCGAACGCGAGACCUCUCUCGUGAAUGCGUAUAAGGAAACCAGACACCAGAAAAAUCUACAGCUUUACAAGGCCAAACUCAAUCCGCAAUCAAUCCAAAACUCACCCGAGGCCCCCGAGACCCCAUCCAAACAUACCAACACAUCCUAAAACAUCAUAUGAACUUAGUGGAGGCCUCAAAUCACAUCAAACAACAUAAAAACACGAAUCGCACCCCAAUUCAAGCCUAACGAACUAAUGGAUUUCCAACUUCUACAAUUGAUGCCGAAACCUAUCAAACCAACUCCGAUUGACCUUAAAUUUUGCACACAAAUCAUAAAUGACACAACGGACGGACCUAUUCCAACUUUCGAAACUAAAAUCUGAGCUCGGUAACAAUAAAGUCAACUCUCGGUCAAACUUCUCAACUCUCCAAACUUUAACCUUUUCCAACUUUCGCCAAUUCAAGCCAAAUUCACCUACGGACCUCCAAAUCAAUAUCCGGACAUACUCCAAAGUCCAAAAUCACCAUGCAGAGCGAUCAGAACAAUCAAAACUCCCUUCCGAGGUCACUUACACACAAGUCAACAUCCGUUCAACUCAGGCUUCCAACCUUGGGACUAAGUGUUCCAAUUUAUUCCGAAACAUCUCCGAAACCAAACCAACCAUCCCUACAAGUGACAUAACAACAAACGAACACAAAAUAAGCAAUAAAUGGGGGAACGAGGCUACAAUACUAAAAACGAUCAGCUGGGUCGUUACACUUUUGUUGUUAGCCUUAUAAUAAAAUUCUGUUUUGUUGUCAUUUAUUGCUUUUACUUUCCGUUGUUAGAUUAUAUUAAUAUUCUGCACAUGUUUCUAUGUCUAGUAAGUGUCUUGACUUGACCUCGUCACUACUCCACCGAAGUUGGUCUUGAUACUUACUAGGUACCGUUAUGAUGUACUCAUACUACACUUCUACACAUUUUUGUGCAGAUCAGGUACUCCCGUGCCAGACGCUAGUGAGUUGAAUCAGAUAUCACGAAAACUUCAAGGGAUACCUGCUUGACGCUCGCAGGCCUCGAAGUCACCUUCUAGUGAUCAUAUGCUACUAUUUCUUUUGUUUCCAAACAAUAUUGUAAUAGAGAUUCCUAGUGUAUUUCAAUAGAGCUUAAGACUCCGUACUACCGAUUUUGGGGUGUAUUACUAUUUGGUCAUUUUGUCGAUGCUAUGUCACUUAUCCGUUUACGCUUUUAAGUUAAUUAAAUUUAACUAGUUAUUCUUAUCAUGUGUUAGGCUUACCUAGUAUUAGAGACUAGGUGCAAUCACGAUUCCUAAGGUGGGAUUUUGGGGUCAUGACAUUUAUUGAUUUUCAGUUAAAGAGUUUUUAAUUGGGCAAGUUGGGUAAUAUGGUUAUGAGUCUCGUCAGUUAACACCAAAUAUAAUAUUAGGCCGAACCAAUAACAUAUACUUCCUUCGUUUCAAUUUAUAUGAACCUAUUUGACCGGAUAUAGAGUUUGAGAAAAAAAGAGAAUGACUUUUGAACUUGGGGGGUAAAAUGAGGUACAUAUUUUUUGUGUGUCAAUAAAUUAUUGCAUAAAGGUAAAUUGUUUCAAAUACGGAAAUUGGGUAUUACAUUGUUUCAAAUACGGAAAUUGGACAUUCUUUUUGGCACGGAUUUAAAAUGAAAUACAUUCACAUAAAUUGAUAAAUUGAAAUGAAAAGAGUAAUUUUUGUCAUUUUUAAGCAUACUAUUAUAUACAAUACCUUUUGUCAUUUUUGAGCAUUUAUAAUCGUUUAAACUAAUUGUUCAACUGAUAUUAGUAUUAAUAAUAGUAACACAUAAGUAAGUUGGAAUUAAUUGCUGAUAUCGUCGGUUGUAGCAAAGUGAAUGUGAUAUUCAGGAAAUUACCAAUGAGGCUAGCAGCAGCACCAGCAACAGCAAUUGGGGCUCCCUCGUUAUUUCCUCCUAACACUACUACUAGGAGUACUACUUUGGCAUAUUUGCCGGUCUCUUCUACUUCACCACCCCCAACUACUUACAUCUUCUCGCUUUCCAUCACCCCCAUCUCAGGUUUCUCUCUAUUUGUUUGUGUGCAAAAGUGGGUAAAUUGUCUACUUUGCUGCUUGAUGGACCCUUCAAUAUCAAAAUCUAUGUGCCAAGAUUUUUGCAGAAACACAAUUUUGAGAGUAAAGCUGAGGCUUUUUUCAUCUUUAGAUGACAACUAAGUGACUGAAAUGUGAAAGUAAAGGAUAAUUAUUGGAUUGGUAUUAGCAAUACUUUUUUGUUAUAGGUGAAUUUUCUGCUUGAUGGACCCGUCAAAAUCAAAUUAUUUCUUGCAGAAUUAUAAUCCAGAUGUUAAAGUUGGGUGGGUUUUUUUCUUGUUGCCUUUAAAUGACAAUUGAGGAAAAUGAUUAGAUGGGUAUUUUCGUACUUUUUUNNN